Molecule: non-coding RNA, 31 nt
Filed under: Mus musculus (house mouse)
Lineage: Eukaryota; Metazoa; Chordata; Mammalia; Rodentia; Muridae
Source: RNAcentral
GAGCUUUAUCAGAGCAACUUCGCUUAAGACU